GUGCUUGCUUUGGCAGCACUUGUACUAAAAUUGGAACGAUGCAGGAGAUUAGCAUGGCCCCUGGGCAAGGAUGACACACAAAUUUGUGAAGCAUUCCAUAUUUUU
Myotis daubentonii (Daubenton's bat) is the source of this 105-nucleotide small nuclear RNA. Lineage: Eukaryota; Metazoa; Chordata; Mammalia; Chiroptera; Vespertilionidae. The record is from RefSeq and is a predicted model, not a curated record.